AUGGGGAAGAAGAAGGAGCGGUCAGUGAAUGUGUCGGGCAAGCCCCGUCACUCUCUCGACGUCAACCGCCCCAAUGACAAGAAGGGUGCUGGCGGCGACGGCGGCGCCGGCGGGAGCCGGUCCGCGGCCACGGUGCGGCGGCUCAAGAUGUACAAACUAAGGUCAGUGAGGGACCGCGGUGGGAAGAUCGUCAAGCACGAUCUCCAGUCCAAGGAGCUCCCCAACACCUGCAUCGAGCCUGACCGCCGGUGGUUCGGAAAUACACGAGUUAUCAAUCAGAAAGAACUUGAAUAUUUCAGGCAAGAACUCCAGGCACGGCUUACAAAUAACUACAGUGUGUUACUAAAAUCUAAACAUCUGCCACUAUUGCUUCUGCAGGAUCAUCAGAAGCAAGCUCGUGCACAUCUUCUUGACACUGAGCUUUUUGAGCAUGCCUUUGGACCAAAGGGCAAGCGUAAACGACCACAACUAUCCAGUCUCGAUUAUGAAUCUCUAAUAAAGAAAGCUGAUGAUUCUCAAGAUGCGUUUGAGUAA
RNAcentral lists this ribosomal RNA (534 nucleotides) under Triticum aestivum (bread wheat). Its description in RNAcentral is "partial small subunit ribosomal RNA". Lineage: Eukaryota; Viridiplantae; Streptophyta; Magnoliopsida; Poales; Poaceae. The record is from RNAcentral.